GUGGACAUAUAUUAGUCCUUUCCCUGUGGAGACAUGGUGUGCGAUGGUUGCAAACAGCAGCCUCCUUGGUAGUAUAUGGAGCCUGUUGCCUAUAUGGGUUGCCCUGAAGAACCUUGGAGAUGAUU
RNAcentral lists this small nucleolar RNA (125 nucleotides) under Mus caroli (Ryukyu mouse). Its description in RNAcentral is "predicted gene, 26153 (MGP_CAROLIEiJ_G0036137.1)". It matches the Rfam family "Small nucleolar RNA SNORA70". Rfam says of the family: snoRNA U70 seems to be exclusive to mammals and is a member of the H/ACA class of snoRNA which contain H (ANANNA) and ACA box motifs. H/ACA box snoRNAs are involved in the conversion of uridines to pseudouridines (5-ribosyluracil) a constituent of structural RNAs (transfer, ribosomal, small nuclear, and small nucleolar). Lineage: Eukaryota; Metazoa; Chordata; Mammalia; Rodentia; Muridae. The record is from RNAcentral.